RNAcentral lists this ribosomal RNA (292 nucleotides) under uncultured bacterium. RNAcentral describes it as "partial 16S ribosomal RNA". It matches the Rfam family "Bacterial small subunit ribosomal RNA", at positions 505 to 796 of the family's 1533-position model. The record is from RNAcentral.
GUGUCAGCAGCCGCGGUAAAACGUAGGAGGCGAGCGUUAUCCGAAUUUACUGGGCGUAAAGGGUGUGCAGGCGGUGCGGUAAGUUGGGUGUGAAAUCUCCCGGCUCAACUGGGAGAGGUCGCUCAAGACUGCCGCACUGGAGGGCAGGCGAGGGAGGUGGAAUUCCCGGUGUAGUGGUGAAAUGCGUAGAGAUCGGGAGGAACACCAGUGGCGAAAGCGGCCUCCUGGACUGUACCUGACGCUGAGACACGAAAGCUAGGGGAGCGAACGGGAUUAGAUACCCCAGUAGUCC